UCAGAUUUAGAUCUACAAUCCACCUGGAAUUGAUUUUUGUAUAUGCAGUGAGAGGUCCCACACUUAUGGGGAAAGCAUCACCCAAAAGUGACAAUGUCUAGAGGCAGGAAUCAUGGAGGCUUCCUUAACUGUCUGUCUGCAACAACAGGUGCCAGAGAAGACACUGCAGGGUAGAGAUCAAAGGAAUCUUAGUAAUUGUUCAAUCCAAUCUCCACACUUUAAAGAUGAAGAAACUGGUAUUGAGAAAAAUGCACAGCUUACCCAAGGUUGCACUGCCG
Rhinopithecus roxellana (golden snub-nosed monkey) is the source of this 278-nucleotide long non-coding RNA. RefSeq lists it as uncharacterized. The record is from RefSeq and is a predicted model, not a curated record. Lineage: Eukaryota; Metazoa; Chordata; Mammalia; Primates; Cercopithecidae. The transcript is spliced from 3 exons.